AGCAACCCUGUCAAAUUCAGUGCUUCCCUCCCCCUGGAUGUCACUGGCCAAAGUGGUUGCAACAGUAACAGUGUAGCUCAUGGGCCCCAUGGCGUUUCUGCAUGGCCACUGGGGAUAAGUAUGUGCUGCACACAAAU
Cyprinodon variegatus (sheepshead minnow) is the source of this 137-nucleotide small nucleolar RNA. The record is from Ensembl. NCBI's taxonomy places the organism in Eukaryota, Metazoa, Chordata, Actinopteri, Cyprinodontiformes, Cyprinodontidae.